AUGCGCCGCUUGUCGUCCUCGUCGCACGCGGCGUCGUCGCGGCCGCCGGCGGUCGGCUUCCGCUUCCACGCCGCGCUGGUCUUGCUCUUGCUCUUGCACCCAGCGGCCGCGGCGGUGGCGGUGGCGGUGGCGUCGAACGCGACCGCGCGGGCUCCGGCUCUUGGACCGGGCUUUGGCACAGCGUGGUGCACGGGCAUCGAGGGCCACCUCUGCGCAGCGCGGCCGCGCGCGCGCGUGGAGAAGGCCGGCGUCCUGGUCGAGGCGCCCGCGCAGUGGACGGCGGCGAGCUGCAGCAGGACGGCGAUGGCGAGGCAUAGGGCGGCGGCGCGCGCCCAGCGCCGCCUCCUCAUGGACGCUGAGCUCAGCGGGUGGCACGCACGUAGGAGCAGUACGUACGUGCGCUCUCUCCGAGUCUGGUUGUUGGGGAGCUCUGUUGGAGGCAGAGGGGGAGGGAGGGAGGCACACGCAGCUGACCAGCAAUGGGACUAUUCAAAGGGUCUGAGGAGCCGGGCUUGCUCCGAGUUUUAA
RNAcentral lists this ribosomal RNA (528 nucleotides) under Triticum aestivum (bread wheat). RNAcentral describes it as "partial small subunit ribosomal RNA". Lineage: Eukaryota; Viridiplantae; Streptophyta; Magnoliopsida; Poales; Poaceae. The record is from RNAcentral.